RNAcentral lists this ribosomal RNA (465 nucleotides) under uncultured bacterium. RNAcentral describes it as "partial 16S ribosomal RNA". It matches the Rfam family "Bacterial small subunit ribosomal RNA", at positions 28 to 507 of the family's 1533-position model. The record is from RNAcentral.
GACGAACGCUGGCGGCGUGCUUAACACAUGCAAGUCGAACGGAAAGGCCCUGCUUGCAGGGUACUCGAGUGGCGAACGGGUGAGUAACACGUGGGUGAUCUGCCCUGCACUUCGGGAUAAGCCUGGGAAACUGGGUCUAAUACCGGAUAGGAGCCAUUUUUAGUGUGAUGGUUGGAAAGUUUUUUCGGUGUAGGAUGAGCUCGCGGCCUAUCAGCUUGUUGGUGGGGUAAUGGCCUACCAAGGCGGCGACGGGUAGCCGGCCUGAGAGGGUGGACGGCCACAUUGGGACUGAGAUACGGCCCAGACUCCUACGGGAGGCAGCAGUGGGGAAUAUUGCACAAUGGGCGCAAGCCUGAUGCAGCGACGCCGCGUGGGGGAUGACGGCCUUCGGGUCGUAAACUCCUUUCGCUAGGGACGAAGCUUUUUGUGACGGUACCUAGAUAAGAAGCACCGGCUAACUACGUG